AAUAUUAUGUCUGAUUUAAGUAAUAAAUUGUAAAUUUAUUUAAGAAAUGAAAUUAAUUUCUAAUAUUA
This 68-nucleotide transfer RNA is filed under the name Pachycondyla annamita. RNAcentral's name for it is "tRNA-Tyr". The record is from RNAcentral. Lineage: Eukaryota; Metazoa; Arthropoda; Insecta; Hymenoptera; Formicidae.